UGGCGGACGGGUGAGUAACGCGUGAGAAUCUGCCCAUAGGACGGGGACAACAUUGGGAAACUGAUGCUAAUACCGGAUGAGCCGCGAGGUAAAACUUUUUAAGGCCUAUGGAGGAGCUCGCGACUGAUUAGCUAGUUGGUGGGGUAAGGGCCUACCAAGGCAAUGAUCAGUAGCUGGUCUGAGAGGAUGAUCAGCCACACUGGGACUGAGACACGGCCCAGACUCCUACGGGAGGCAGCAGUGGGGAAUUUUCCGCAAUGGGGGGAACCCUGACGGAGCAACGCCGCGUGAGGGAAGAAUGGUUGUGGCCAGUAAACCUCUUUUAAUAGGGAAGAAUAUUGACGGUACCUAUUGAAUAAGCAUCGGCUAACUCCGUGCCAGCAGCCGCGGUAAU
Molecule: ribosomal RNA, 394 nt
Filed under: uncultured bacterium
Lineage: Bacteria
Description: bacterial SSU rRNA
Rfam family: Bacterial small subunit ribosomal RNA
Source: RNAcentral